GGGCUGGGGUUUUGGUAGAGGUGGUGACACGGAUUAUCAAAGGGCUGCUCUCCACAUAAAUCCAAAGGAAUUGCACAACUGUCUCACAGACCUAAUGAUUUGUGAUCUGGAGCAAUUCCUGUGCAUUCUGUGCGCACUUUUGACUGCCCCUGACUGAAAAAAUGAGAACUGGAUUUUGAGUUUCUUUAUUGUGGAUGGAAAUUUUUUUAUAUUUGUG
This 217-nucleotide unclassified non-coding RNA is filed under the name Hevea brasiliensis (rubber tree). The record is from RNAcentral. Lineage: Eukaryota; Viridiplantae; Streptophyta; Magnoliopsida; Malpighiales; Euphorbiaceae.